This 277-nucleotide unclassified non-coding RNA is filed under the name Hevea brasiliensis (rubber tree). Lineage: Eukaryota; Viridiplantae; Streptophyta; Magnoliopsida; Malpighiales; Euphorbiaceae. The record is from RNAcentral.
AAACAAUUCUCUGUAAUGCCAGCCUUCAUUUCUCUUAAGCAAAACAGAGCAUUAAGCAAAUUCAGAACUAUCCAGCAAUAUCAACAGCUGAAGAGAUCAAAGACAGCUCAAAAAAUGUUUAUAAGCUAUUAAAGAUGACUAAUUUUCGGCCUAAUGCAAUUUAAACUUCAUUUAACUUUCACAAUCUCUCUCUUGUUAGUAAACAGAACCCAAUAAAUUUAAUACGCACAGUAAAUUCUAGACUUCUACUUACCUGAAAGAAAUAGAAAUAGAAAUG